AUUGAACGCUGGCGGCAGGCCUAACACAUGCAAGUCGAGCGGAUGCAGGGUGCUUGCUCGUGGAUUCGGCGGGUGACGGGCGGGUGAUUCCUAGGUAUAUGCCUGGCCGUUGGGUAUAGGGUCAGGACAUGGGCGCACAUACCCUAUUAGCGCGUACGGCGUACGUGGGGGAGCUGGGGACCUUAGGCUCUCAGGUGAUCCUAGGUCGGAUUAGCUAGUUGGCGGGGUAAAGGCCUACCAAGGCGACGAUCCGUAGCUGGUCUGAGAGGAUGAUCAGCCACACUGGAACUGAGACACGGUCCAGACUCCUACGGGAGGCAGCAGUGGGGAAUAUUGGACAAUGGGCGAAAGCCUGAUCCAGCCAUGCCGCGUGGGUGAAGAAGGUCUUCGGAUUGUAAAGCACUUUUAUUUGGGAGGAAGAGCAGUAAGUUAAUACCUUGCUGUUUUGACGGUACCCAAAGAAUAAGCACCGGCUAACUUCGUG
Molecule: ribosomal RNA, 484 nt
Filed under: uncultured bacterium
Lineage: Bacteria
Description: partial 16S ribosomal RNA
Rfam family: Bacterial small subunit ribosomal RNA
Source: RNAcentral